RNAcentral lists this non-coding RNA (28 nucleotides) under Homo sapiens (human). Lineage: Eukaryota; Metazoa; Chordata; Mammalia; Primates; Hominidae. The record is from RNAcentral.
UGGAAAUGUUGCUGAGGCCUCAGGUGUC